UGCAUCGAUGAAGAACGCAGCCAGUUGCGAUAAGUAGUGUGAAUUGCAGAAUUCAGUGAAUCAUCGAAUCUUUGAACGCAAAUUGCGCUCUCUGGAUAUCCAGGGAGCAUGCCUGUCUGAGUGUCGUGAUAAAAACUACACACCACUGGUGUGGCAUGUGGGUUUCGCGUUUGCAUCGUCUUGAACUAGAUGGUGAACUAAACUCGUCCCGCGAAGUGCGUGAACCUGAAUGUGCUGCUGUGCAUGUGCAUUAGGAAGGCUCAACUUGCUUCUGUCCUUCCCUAUGCGUUAUCAUGCCAGUAGAUACAUUACAGUAGGUGAACUAGACGCUGCUUUCCACUCUUUCCAGUGUGGAACGGAGUGUCAAAUUCUGAUUUUGACCUCAGAUCAGACAAGACUACCCGCUGAAUUUAAGCAUAUCAAUAAGCGGAGGA
This 434-nucleotide ribosomal RNA is filed under the name uncultured fungus. Its description in RNAcentral is "eukaryotic LSU rRNA". The stretch from base 1 to 126 matches the Rfam family "5.8S ribosomal RNA", at positions 29 to 154 of the family's 154-position model. Lineage: Eukaryota; Fungi. The record is from RNAcentral.